Molecule: ribosomal RNA, 948 nt
Filed under: Rhodotorula diobovata
Lineage: Eukaryota; Fungi; Basidiomycota; Microbotryomycetes; Sporidiobolales; Sporidiobolaceae
Description: eukaryotic LSU rRNA
Rfam family: Eukaryotic large subunit ribosomal RNA
Source: RNAcentral
GUGUAAUCUCUAGAAGUGUUUUCCGCGUUGGACCGCACACAAGUCUGUUGGAAUACAGCGGCAUAGUGGUGAAACCCCCGUAUAUGGUGCGGACGCCCAGCGCUUUGUGAUACACUUUCAAUGAGUCGAGUUGUUUGGGAAUGCAGCUCAAAUUGGGUGGUAAAUUCCAUCUAAAGCUAAAUAUUGGCGAGAGACCGAUAGCGAACAAGUACCGUGAGGGAAAGAUGAAAAGCACUUUGGAAAGAGAGUUAACAGUACGUGAAAUUGUUGGAAGGGAAACGCUUGAAGUCAGACUUGCUUGCCGGAGCUUGCUUCGGUUUGCAGGCCAGCAUCAGUUUUCCGGGGUGGAUAAUGACGGUUUGAAGGUAGCAGUCUCGGCUGUGUUAUAGCUUUCCGUUGGAUACGCCCUGGGGGACUGAGGAACGCAGCGUGCUUUUUGCGAAAGACUCGUCUUUUUCACGCUUAGGAUGCUGGUGGAAUGGCUUUAAACGACCCGUCUUGAAACACGGACCAAGGAGUCUAACAUGCUCGCGAGUAUUUGGGUGUCAAACCCGGAUGCGCAAUGAAAGUGAAUGUAGGUGGGAACCGCAAGGUGCACCAUCGACCGAUCUGGAUUUUUUAAGAUGGAUUUGAGUAAGAGCGCGUAUGUUGGGACCCGAAAGAUGGUGAACUAUGCCUGAAUAGGGCGAAGCCAGAGGAAACUCUGGUGGAGGCUCGUAGCGGUUCUGACGUGCAAAUCGAUCGUCAAAUUUGGGUAUAGGGGCGAAAGACUAAUCGAACCAUCUAGUAGCUGGUUCCUGCCGAAGUUUCCCUCAGGAUAGCAGAAACUCACAUCAGUUCUAUGAGGUAAAGCGAAUGAUUAGAGGCCUUGGGGUUGAAACAACCUUAACCUAUUCUCAAACUUUAAAUAUGUAGGAAGUCCUUGCUACUUAAUUGAGCGAGGACAUG